This 72-nucleotide transfer RNA is filed under the name Marmota marmota marmota (Alpine marmot). It matches the Rfam family "tRNA". Rfam says of the family: Transfer RNA (tRNA) molecules are approximately 80 nucleotides in length. Their secondary structure includes four short double-helical elements and three loops (D, anti-codon, and T loops). Further hydrogen bonds mediate the characteristic L-shaped molecular structure. tRNAs have two regions of fundamental functional importance: the anti-codon, which is responsible for specific mRNA codon recognition, and the 3' end, to which the tRNAs corresponding amino acid is attached (by aminoacyl-tRNA synthetases). tRNAs cope with the degeneracy of the genetic code in two manners: having more than one tRNA (with a specific anti-codon) for a particular amino acid; and 'wobble' base-pairing, i.e. permitting non-standard base-pairing at the 3rd anti-codon position. RNAcentral also lists the same sequence under 1 other name. Lineage: Eukaryota; Metazoa; Chordata; Mammalia; Rodentia; Sciuridae. The record is from Rfam by way of RNAcentral.
UGUGUUGUGGCUCAGUGGCGCAGCCAAUGACUCACAUGCUUGAGGCACUGGGUUUGAGUCCCAGCACCACAU